Long non-coding RNA from Triticum aestivum (bread wheat), 1633 nucleotides. RefSeq lists it as uncharacterized. The transcript has 4 exons. The record is from RefSeq and is a predicted model, not a curated record. Lineage: Eukaryota; Viridiplantae; Streptophyta; Magnoliopsida; Poales; Poaceae.
UAUCCUCCUCUGCCGCCGCCGCCGCAGCGCCGCCCGCACGCCAUCCCUACUGCUGGACUCCAUAGGAGCGGAGGUCUUCCUAUUCCUCUCGGCAGGCCGCGGCCAGUUCUGGGCAGGUGGUCAGGCGCCGUCUCUGUUUUGCGGCAAUGGCCCAAGCGCAGACGCGGGAGGCACAAGGCGGCGCUGUCGGCGGAGCCAGGAGAAGCCGCGGCGCCAACUAAUUCCUAUUCCUGGCUCCAUGGGGAGCAGCGGUAAGGCGGUGUUCCUGUGCAGUUCAUGGCCUCUGUCUCUAUGGUGUACGUACAUGAAGAAGUCUGCCUAUUUGAAUAGAGGGGACCCACAUUGCCAGAUCCAAUCGUGAACAAAGAUUAACCACUGUAGUAUUGUGAGUGGAUAUAUAGGAGUGACACUGACAUGCUUAUCGCCUCCGGAUAUUCUCUGUUGUGCACAAUCAUUUUGACCUGUGCCGGCCAGAUGGGUUUACAGAUAGAGUGCAAAUUGCUGAACUUUUUGACCUGCUCUUUGUAUGCAACGCCCAUGUCUAAUGGUGUGUACCAAGUAAGAAUUCUUAUUCGAGAUGUACAUAGAGUGCAAAUUGCUUAUUUCAGACAGAUAUACUCCCUCCGUUCGGAAUUACUUGUCUCGGAAAUGGAUGUAUCUAGAACUAAAAUACAUCUAGAUACAUCUAUUUUUGCGACAACUAAUUCCGAACGGAGGGAGUACAUAAAUGCUCUGUUUUCUAGGGAGGGAGAAGAACGCACUUGGACUUGGGAGGAUCUAAGACUCAGCUCAGGACAAUAUUCUAGUUUCUGUGUCUUCUGUCAUUGGUUUCUAUAGGAUGGUUCUCAACACUCAACAGGCAAGAAUCUUCCCCUUCACUCAAUAUUUAUUUAUAUUCAACUUAGUUUAGUAACACAUUACAUAGUUGAUAGCUAAACCAGAAAGGUUCACUGUUAAUCGUGCAGCCAUCUACGAUUUUGUAUCGUGCUUUGACUUGCAGGGGAUGGAGUGGCUGAUACCCAUGUGCAAUUGCGGGGCUUGGGAUUCCUCUGAAGAACAGAGUUGUGUGCCUGACAAGUGAUUCAGAACAGAGUUCCUACGGGGAACAACUUCAGAAAAUGGCAAUAGCAGGAGCUCUGCAUUUUCAUUAUAGCAGGGGAGACGAAAACAAGUUACAAGUUUGUAUGUUCCAAGAGAACUGAACAGCCCAGAGAAACAACUCUGGAAGAGAAUCAGGAUUAAUCAGCGCAGCAUUGUGAGUGGAUUAGGAGUGACAUUGCCAUGGUUUAUCGCUUCAAAAUAUCCUCUGCAGGCCAUAAUUUGGACAUUUGCCGGAUGAAUUUAUAAAUACAGAGUUAGCCUGCGGAUGCAAAUUAUUGAAUAUUUGGACCUGCUCUUCGUAUGAGAUGCUCACAUCUAACAUUGUUGACCAGCACGUGCGUGGAUAGCACGUAGCAGCAAAAGUGGAGGAAAACAAAUGAGCUCAGGGAUCAACCGGCAAAGAAAAGCAGUCGCAUUCAAGUCCUGAGUAAAGGUAUGUACGUACUAAUGCGUAGCUACUAGCCAGGUUGUCCAGAGGAUACCAGCAUUCAAGAUAUCUUUGCUCUGCACUUGGAUGUUGCAGGCAGACGAA